AUACGUAGGUGGCAAGCGUUGUCCGGAUUUAUUGGGUUUAAAGGGUGCGCAGGCGGGAGAUUAAGUCGGCGGGGAAAUUUUUCCGCUCAACUGGAAAAGUGCCUUCGAAACUGGUUUCCUUGGGGGUAGGUUAUGGAGGCGGACUUUGUUGGUGAGCAGUAAAAUGCAGAGAUAACACGAGGAACUCCGAUUGCGCAGGCAGCUUACUAAACUACUACUGACGCUCAGGCACGAAGGCGUGGGGAUCAAACAGGAUUAGAUACCCUGGUAGUCCACGCAGUAAACGAUGAUUACUAGCUGUUUGCGAUACAAUGUAAGCGGCUGAGCGAAAGCGUUAAGUAAUCCACCUGGGGAGUACGUUCGCAAGAAUGAAACUCAAAGGAAUUGACGGGG
Molecule: ribosomal RNA, 393 nt
Filed under: uncultured bacterium
Lineage: Bacteria
Description: partial 16S ribosomal RNA
Rfam family: Bacterial small subunit ribosomal RNA
Source: RNAcentral